GACGAACGCUGGCGGCGUGCUUAACACAUGCAAGUCGAACGGUGAAGGGACCGGUUUUUGCUGGUUCUGGAUGAGUGGCGAACGGGUGAGUAACACGUGAGUAACCUGCCCCCUUCUUCUGGAUAACCGCAUGAAAGUGUGGCUAAUACGGGAUAUUCUGCGCCUGCUGCAUGGUGGGUGUGGGAAAGAUAUUGUUUCGGUGGGGGAUGGGCUCGCGGCCUAUCAGCUUGUUGGUGGGGUGAUGGCCUACCAAGGCGGUGACGGGUAGCCGGCCUGAGAGGGUGGACGGUCACACUGGGACUGAGACACGGCCCAGACUCCUACGGGAGGCAGCAGUGGGGAAUAUUGCACAAUGGGCGCAAGCAUGAUGCAGCGACGCGGCGUGAGAGAUGGAGGCCUUCGGGUUGUAAACCUCUUUCGCCAGUGAAGCAGGCCUGUCCCUUUUGUGGGUGGGUUGACGGUAGCUGGAGAAGAAGCGCCGGCUAACUACGUG
Molecule: ribosomal RNA, 493 nt
Filed under: uncultured bacterium
Lineage: Bacteria
Description: partial 16S ribosomal RNA
Rfam family: Bacterial small subunit ribosomal RNA
Source: RNAcentral